This 433-nucleotide ribosomal RNA is filed under the name uncultured bacterium. Its description in RNAcentral is "partial 16S ribosomal RNA". It matches the Rfam family "Bacterial small subunit ribosomal RNA", at positions 29 to 507 of the family's 1533-position model. The record is from RNAcentral.
AACGAACGCUGGCGGCAUGCCUAGCACAUGCAAGUCGAACGAGACCUUCGGGUCUAGUGGCGCACGGGUGCGUAACGCGUGGGAAUCUGCCCUUGGGUUCGGAAUAACAGUUGGAAACGACUGCUAAUACCGGAUGAUGACGUAAGUCCAAAGAUUUAUCGCCCAAGGAUGAGCCCGCGUAGGAUUAGCUAGUUGGUGAGGUAAAGGCUCACCAAGGCGACGAUCCUUAGCUGGUCUGAGAGGAUGAUCAGCCACACUGGGACUGAGACACGGCCCAGACUCCUACGGGAGGCAGCAGUGGGGAAUAUUGGACAAUGGGUGAAAGCCUGAUCCAGCAAUGCCGCGUGAGUGAUGAAGGCCUUAGGGUUGUAAAGCUCUUUUACCCGGGAUGAUAAUGACAGUACCGGGAGAAUAAGCUCCGGCUAACUCCGUG